GGACGGGUAGCUCAGUUGGUAGAGCACUAGAUUGAAGCUCUAGGUGUCGGGAGUUCGAAGCUCUCCCCGUCCA
Molecule: transfer RNA, 73 nt
Filed under: Bacillus velezensis
Lineage: Bacteria; Bacillati; Bacillota; Bacilli; Caryophanales; Bacillaceae
Also listed under: 1 other name
Description: tRNA-Phe
Rfam family: tRNA
About the family: Transfer RNA (tRNA) molecules are approximately 80 nucleotides in length. Their secondary structure includes four short double-helical elements and three loops (D, anti-codon, and T loops).
Source: RNAcentral